This 5104-nucleotide long non-coding RNA is filed under the name Glycine max (soybean). Its description in RNAcentral is "long non-coding RNA (GMAX_LNC003500)". The record is from RNAcentral. Lineage: Eukaryota; Viridiplantae; Streptophyta; Magnoliopsida; Fabales; Fabaceae.
UCAAAAUUGAGUUAAGGGAUCAAAGUACCCAUUUUGUUUUCUACUUGGGUUUUUCAAUUUCUUAACUUUAACUAUUGAAUUAAAGUAUUUCAUUUAUACUAAUUAAUUGAGUUCAAAUAUAAACAAAUAUAAAAUAGAUCUGCAUUUCAGGGUUCUAUUAUAUUCUAGUAGUGUAAUGUAUUCUAUGUAUAUGUAUAUUAUAGAAAUUGAAAAUACUCUUUCAAUCAAACAAAGAUUUGAAUUAUAUCUAUAUUCGUAUUUUGAGAAAAUCAAGAGAAUCCAAUAGAAUAGGAAAUUGCUUCCUAUUCCAACCGAAUUCUUCUUAAAAUUUCUCUUUCGAUGAACUGACGCUUAACCAGGUUUUAUAUAUAUAGAAAAUGGGGGACCGCGUAAUCCCCAUUCCUGCCCCCCUUUUUCUUUUUUUAAUAUGAUACCGGGAUUGUAAAAAGAAUCCGAAGAAUAAGAGUUGUUUUUUGAUUAUUUCAGAUUCAUUGGAAUCAAUACAAAUCAAAUAGAUGAAACUAAAAAAAAAUUGGACGCAAUUCUCAGUCAGAUAGUAGAAAUCAAAUAUAUUUGAUUUCUACUAUCUGGAUUACGGUGAUUGUAGUCCGAUCCUUUUUUUUUAGACUAAGACCAAAAAUUGAAAACCUUUUUCAUUUUUUUUAAUCAUUGAUUACAUUGAUAAAAAUGAAGAAGUCAGAUUUCAGUGAAAUUAGUCACUUUGACUUACCGUUUUUACGUAAAUUAUAAGUAAAAAAGCAGUAGGAACUAGAAUAAACAGUGCAGUAGCAAUAAAUGCAAGAAUAUUUACUUCCAUAAUCUUUAUUAUGUUUUAUUUCUCUUAAAUUUCCAAUAAAAAAUUCGGGAUUUAAUCCCAUAGAGAUGAUAAGCAUUUCAGGUCCAAGAAGUACCGCUUCUCCAUCAUCAUACCAACAAAUAGGAGUUUUGCACUUUCGUCCAUAUAAAGCUUCAAAAGGAGCCAUACCAAUACUGGCUUGGUAGCUAUUGUUGUAAGUAAACUCAAUCAAUGGCAAACAAUCCAUCCAGCUACCUUGUUGCUCUAUAAUACACGCCCGAAGUAGAUCCUCUAGAGUCUGAAUGGUUCGUUCAGUCUGACCAUCUGUUUGAGGAUGAUAAGCUGAACUAAGCUUCAGCUUUGUCCCCAAGGCUUCAUGUAGACUCGUCCAAAAUCGUGAAGUAAACCUCGGAUCCCUGUCGGAUACAAUACUGGAAGGAAUUCCAUGCAACCUUACUACUUCCUUGAUGUACAACUCCACGAGUUUCUCCAUUCUAUACUUCAUAUUCACUGGGAUAAAAUGAGCAGAUUUGGUGAGUCGAUUUACUAUGACCCACACAGCAUCAUGUCCACGACUAGUCUUGGGUAAACUAGAUACAAAAUCCAUAGAUAUGCUCUCCCAUUUCCAUUCCGGAAUUUCCAAUGGCUUCAAUUCUCCCGAUGGUCGUUGGUGCUCAACCUUAGCCUUUUGACAUGUCAAACAUAUUGCUACAUAUUCAGCUACAUCUUUCUUCAUACCAUGCCACCAAAAACUUCUCUUCAAAUCUUGGUACAUCUUAGUCAUUCCUGGGUGGAAACUAAGACGACUUUUAUGAGCUUCUUCCAAGAUCUUAACUCUCAAAUCAUCUAAAGAUGGCACACAUAUCCUCCCCUUGAAUCUAAUUAACCCAGUUGUGUCCUUCUCAAACUCCACACCCUUAUCCCCCAUUAUUUCUAACACUUUGCCUUGCAAAAACGGGUCAUCCUCUUGAGCCUCGCGUAUGUGAUUUACGAAUUCAUUGGUGAUCUGUAAUGCUCCCACAAAUAAGCUCUUGGGUCGCACCUCGAUUGCUAGAUUCAAAUCUCGGAACUCUUCUAUCAAUCUCUGCUCCAAACUCAUCAUAGUCGCAACAUGUAAGGAUUUCCGGCUUAGCGCAUCGGCUACUACAUUAGCCUUUCCUGGAUGGUAGGAAAGUCCAAAAUCAUAAUCCUUGAGGAACUCCAUCCAUCUUCGUUGCCUCAUAUUGAGUUCCUUCUGAUCGAACAAGUAUUUGAGACUCUUGUGAUCACUGAAAACUUCAAAACGAGUACCGUACAAAUAAUGCCUCCAAAUCUUUAAGGCAAAGACCACCGCUGCUAGUUCCAAGUCAUGAGUCGGAUAGUUAACUUCAUGAGGACGUAAUUGACGUGAAGCAUAAGCCACUACUUUUCCCUCUUGCAUCAACACACACCCCAAGCCUUGCCCGCUUGCAUCGCAAUACACUUCAAAUGUCCUCUUAGGGUCGGGCAAAAUUAACACUGGAGCUGUCGUCAACCGCCUCUUCAACUCUUGGAAACUUUGAUCACACUUCUCAUUCCAAACAAACUUCUCAUUCUUACGAGUUAACUUAGUUAGAGGCAAUGCCAAUUUAGAAAAUCCCUCAAUGAACUUUCUAUAAUAACCAGCCAACCCCAAGAAGCUUCGAACCUCCGUUGGAGUUGUCGGUUGUUGCCACUCCAUAACCGACACCACCUUGUUCGGAUCUACCGCAACCCCGUCUCUAGAAAUCACGUGCCCCAAGAACUGCACUUUCUCCAACCAAAAGUCACAUUUCGACAGUUUGGCGAACAACUUCCUAUCCCUCAGGAUAUGCAACACAAUCCUCAAGUGCUUCUCAUGCUCCUCCUUAUUCCUUGAAUACACUAGGAUAUCAUCAAUAAACACAACCAUGAACUGAUCCAAGUAAUCAUGGAAUAUACGGUUCAUAUAAUCCAUGAAAAUAGCCGGAGCAUUAGUCACUCCAAAUGGCAUGACUAAAUACUCGUAGUGCCCAUACCGGGUCCGAAACGCAGUCUUUGGGAUAUCUUCCUUCUUAACUCGAAUUUGAUGGUACCCCGAUCGCAGAUCGAUCUUUGAAAAUACCGUUGCUCCCCUCAAUUGGUCAAUCAAAUCAUCUAUCCUUGGUAGGGGAUAUUUGUUCUUGAUAGUGACCUUGUUUAACUGCCGGUAGUCUACCCACAUCCUCAUACUUCCAUCCUUCUUCUUAACCAACAAGACCGGCGCUCCCCACGGUGAUGCGCUUGGACGAACAAAUUGUUUGCUCAAAAGGUCCUGCACUUGUGCCUUCACCUCUGCUAGUUCUACCGGAGACAUUCUAUAAGGCGCAAUCGACACUGGAUUCGCCCCAGGCACCAAGUCAAUAAUGAAUUCCACUUCUCUCUCAGGUGGCAAUUCACAUAUGUCGUCGGGAAAAACUUCUGGAAAUUCUGACACCACCGGUAUACAACUAACUUCAGCGUCCCCUUCCACAUACAUAGAGAACAACACCAUGUAAGUUUGAACAUCACCCGUUCCUUCGUUGGCCGCAUCCCCUUUCAACGAUUCACUUGGAACUAUCUCUCCACCAAACACUAGCAUCUUCUCUUUACAGUCUAGAAAGAUAUGGUUAGUAGAUAACCAAUCCAUCCCCAAGAUCACAUCUAGGUGAGCUAAAGGUAGGCAAAUCAAGUCCGCCAUAAAAGAUCGACCCUCAACAAUUAUGGGACACUUCAAACACACCCGAGAGGUGGUUACAGGCUCGCUCGUCGGAGUAGACACCACCAUAUCAUAUGGUAACUCCGUCGCACAUAACCCCAACCUCUUCACACAUGCAUGAGAUAUGAAAGAAUGUGUGGCACCUGAAUCAUAAAGUACAUCUAGUAGUUUAUCAGCAAUCAAACACUUACCCCGUAUCAAAUCGUCGGAGGCAGCUGCUUCUGAUCCACUCAUAGCAAAUACCCGAGAGGGUACUUUUGGUCUUCCACCACUAGUGUUGUUGUUGCUAACAUUACCGCUCCUUGUGGAAUUAGUGGGUCCACGAUUGACGGUGUUAGAAUUGGCCGUCACUGUUGGCCUCCCGGUCACCCUACAUUCUCUAGCAUAAUGGCCCACCUUGCCACAAACAUAGCAACGGCUCUCCUGUGUCUGCUGGAGCUGUGGGCAAUUCGUCUUAAGAUGCGGUCCUCCACACUGAAAACACUGUACUCCAGUCCCCCUUGACUGGCUCAUGUUGGAGGUAGCCAUAGGUUGCUUCCCCUUGUUGCUAGCAUACGGCUUCAUCCUCUUGUUACCAUUCCCUCUGAAAGGAUGGUUUCUCUGAGGUCCUCCAACGCCUCUAGCUUGCCUCUCCUUCAUCUUAUCUUCAAAAAUCCUGCACUUCGUCACCAACUGAUUAAAAUCCGUAAUCUGCAUAUAACUAACCGCCUGUUGGAUCUCCAACCGAAGCCCAUUCUCAAACUGAGCACAUAAAUCUUCCUCAUUCCGAGCAUCUUGGUAUUGAGGCCAAUACUGCAGAAGCUCAUUAAACUUAGCCGUGUACUCCCCAACAGACAUGUUUCCUUGCUUCAAAUCUAGAAAUUCCCUCACCUUCCUCUUCCUGAGAUCUCGUGGAAAGUAAUUCUCCAGCAAUUUGUCCUUGAAGGCGUUCCAAGGAAUCACGCCUCCAGGUGCAACAAACGAAGGCUUCACGAACUUCCACCAAUUCUCGGCCUCCCCUUGGAGCAUAAAUGUCGCAUAAAGAACCUUAUGCUCCUCAAGGCAACCCAUCGCCUCGAAAAUCUUUUCCGUCUCAGCUAACCACAACCUAGCACCUUCCGGAUCAUAGUCUCCACUGAACUUUGGCGGGUGGUUCUUACGGAAAGCCAUGAGUCCUCGAUACUCCGCCGGCUCCACAUCACGUUCCUGCACUAGAGUUUCCAGCACAGCGGUGAUGCGGUCAAGGACAUCACGGUUCUGAUCCCUACCACGUCCUGCCAUACCUAUCCUGUAGGGAAACUAUUAGCACCCAAGAAAUCCUAAAGAGAGAGUGUACCACACAGGCUAUGACAGUUAUAACAACAUCCUUCUCUUUAUACAUACUUAUACACACAACAAUCCUAUGAAUCAGUCACACAUCCAUGCUCAAGACAAUAAGGCAGAAAUACACACAAUGUGUGACUUAACGUCACUCCCCGAAACCUACUUCCAAGUUUCAGAGAUACACAGCAUUCACACAGCAAGACCAUAACAGGUUCACUAGAAUCCAACUUUUGCUCUGAUACCACCAAUUGUGGCGUCCCUAAAUUAAUGAUUGGUUUAAUAGUAAUAAUUUA